Molecule: ribosomal RNA, 167 nt
Filed under: Acinetobacter lwoffii
Lineage: Bacteria; Pseudomonadati; Pseudomonadota; Gammaproteobacteria; Moraxellales; Moraxellaceae
Description: partial 16S ribosomal RNA
Rfam family: Bacterial small subunit ribosomal RNA
Source: RNAcentral
AAACUGAAGAGUUUGAUCAUGGCUCAGAUUGAACGCUGGCGGCAGGCUUAACACAUGCAAGUCGAGCGGGGAAAAGUAGCUUGCUACUUUACCUAGCGGCGGACGGGUGAGUAAUGCUUAGGAAUCUGCCUAUUAGUGGGGGACAACAUCUCGAAAGGGAUGCUAAU